CGAGUUUUAACUGAGCGUUCAGUUACUGGACGUAGACCCGAAACCGGGCGACCUACCCAUGGGCAGGAUGAAGCGAAAGUAAAAUUUCGGGGAGGUCCGAACCCACGAGCGUUGAAAAGCUCGGGGAGGACUUGUGGGUAGCGGUGAAAUUCCAAUCGAGCCCGGAGAUAGCUGGUUCUCCCCGAAAUAGCUUUAGGGCUAGCCUCAAGGUGAGAGAUACGGAGGUAGAGCACUGAAUGUCCUAGGGGGUAUUGCACCUACCGAAGACUAUCAAACUCCGAAU
RNAcentral lists this ribosomal RNA (283 nucleotides) under Clostridioides difficile. RNAcentral describes it as "partial 23S ribosomal RNA". It matches the Rfam family "Bacterial large subunit ribosomal RNA", at positions 678 to 961 of the family's 2925-position model. Lineage: Bacteria; Bacillati; Bacillota; Clostridia; Peptostreptococcales; Peptostreptococcaceae. The record is from RNAcentral.